Molecule: ribosomal RNA, 429 nt
Filed under: Pseudomonadota bacterium
Lineage: Bacteria; Pseudomonadati; Pseudomonadota
Description: Proteobacteria bacterium partial 16S ribosomal RNA
Rfam family: Bacterial small subunit ribosomal RNA
Source: RNAcentral
UGGGGAAUAUUGGACAAUGGGCGAAAGCCUGAUCCAGCUAUGCCGCGUGUGUGAAGAAGGUCUUCGGAUUGUAAAGCACUUUAAGUUGGGAGGAAGGGCAGUAAGCGAAUAUCUUGCUGUUUUGACGUUACCGACAGAAUAAGCACCGGCUAACUCUGUGCCAGCAGCCGCGGUAAUACAGAGGGUGCAAGCGUUAAUCGGAAUUACUGGGCGUAAAGCGCGCGUAGGCGGCUAAUUGAGUCGGAUGUGAAAUCCCCGAGCUUAACUUGGGAAUUGCAUUCGAUACUGGUUAGCUAGAGUGUGGGAGAGGAUGGUAGAAUUCCAGGUGUAGCGGUGAAAUGCGUAGAGAUCUGGAGGAAUACCGAUGGCGAAGGCAGCCAUCUGGCCUAACACUGACGCUGAGGUACGAAAGCAUGGGGAGCAAACAGG